Non-coding RNA from Agelaius phoeniceus (red-winged blackbird), 826 nucleotides. The record is from RefSeq and is a predicted model, not a curated record. Lineage: Eukaryota; Metazoa; Chordata; Aves; Passeriformes; Icteridae.
AGCUCCAAAUCCCCAUUAAAGUGCCAAGAUGAGGGGGACAGCAUCCUCCCAGGGCAGCUGCCUGCAGGUGAUCACAUUCAGCGGCUGUGGCUUGGGCCAGCCCUGAGCAAGGACCUUCUGGCAAAAAGGACCCACAGCAUCCCCAAGAGCCUUGCAAAGGAGUUUCUCUGCUCAGCCCUGGUUCUCAUCCUCUUCUCACCCAGAAGGAGUGGAAAUGCUGCCAGCUCCAGCUCACAGCGUGCCAUUCUCCACCCGCUGGAAUGACUCUGCCAGUGACCAUGGGACCUCCACAGCAUUAGGGAGUGAUCAGUGAUUCACUGCAAUUGCUCAGGUUUCAGAGCCGUGGAUUAUCUUUAUAAAUGCCCCCAACACUGCUAUAGAUGAGCAGGAUUGGAAAGGUCUCUGUUCUUCAGGGAACUCCAGCAUCCUGUUUUGUCGCAUUCAUCUUCAGGCUAAUGAACAGUACCAACCUGCAUCCAGAGAAAAAUUAAAGCCACGGCUAAUGGUAGCAACGAAAUAAGUGGCAAAAGACUAAAUGUAAAUUGCUUUGAAAGCUGAUACGUUUUCAGUGUGACAUGAUAAUGCAAAAAUGUUGCCAGUGCUGCUAUUAUUUAUAAUUCCCCAAAUGUCUGAAUUCCCUCCAGCCAGCAUACAUUAAGCACAAUCCAGGGCAUAUGCCACAAAUCAUAUUCAAUGAUGAAAAGUCAGGAGAAAAGCAAGAGCUCAAUCUCUCUUGAUUACAGCAGCCAAAGAUUUCUUUUUCAUAGACUGCCAGUACUAAUGAAUGGAGAGGACACAAAAGGAAAACAAAAAUACUCAAUUCAAA